Juglans regia (Persian walnut) is the source of this 397-nucleotide long non-coding RNA. RefSeq lists it as uncharacterized. The record is from RefSeq and is a predicted model, not a curated record. Lineage: Eukaryota; Viridiplantae; Streptophyta; Magnoliopsida; Fagales; Juglandaceae. The transcript is spliced from 3 exons.
UCGAUCCUAAGGCGCACAAAGGAGAGAAAACUUCUCAAGUCCCCUCCUUCGCAUGAGAAAGACCUUUCGGUUUCCUCCAAGCCGUGUAAAUCCCUUUCACUUCUCCAGUUGAUUUCUCUUGCUUUCGUAAACCUAAGCUUCUCACCGAAACCCUUCAAGAAGAUCAACCUUUUGAGAUUCCCGAAUUUCCCUGCCUUUUUUCCUUGUUGCCGUGUACUUAUGUGGCUUCGAAAGAGAUCCACGCAGGUAUGAACGAUGAUGCUGCGAAGCCGGGUGCUGCUGAGGAGGGAGGGGCUGAAGUUUGGAGUUCCCGGUUGGUUUGAUUUGGAGGACAGUGAUUAUGUUUUCUUUAUGUUUUUAUUUUGGGUCCCAUGUUGGGACAUUCUGUUGGUUUGAC